AGAGCCUGACUAGAUGGCAGCUUAACUGCCUGCUCUCAGAGGAGCAAAACUCACCAUACGUUCCUUUCAGAAGCAGAUGUCCUAGAUGUAACACUGACUGAGAUAAGAGAAAGAAAUUCACCCCUGCUUCUACCAGUAGAAUUUGUAGCUGGUGUGUCUGGACCAGGGUGAUACAAGCAUCACAGGAGAGUGGAGAGCUAUUGUUAAAGACAAGUCCCUAAAAUGCGUAGAAGGUAAGAUUUGCAUGGCCAAGAAUUUCAUUGCUGAGAACCUACCCAGUCUUAGGUGAUUAUUUAAAUGCAUGACUUUAAGAGGAAAGAUAUCUGGCACUGAAUAGCUGUUGGAUAGGCUGACCUGCAUAGAUGGUAGACUCUGGGGUGCCUGGCAGGUUGGAUGAGGAAAGCGCCCUGGGUGAGUGUUGGGAUGUCAUUGGGAGCAACUCCCUAACCUAGCACUUAACACAGUGCUCUUUCCUUGGAGGAUGGGAAUGGCAAAGGGAUGAUAACUUAGUUAAUACUUGGACAACAGUCUAAAAAUAGUAGUUUUAAUUGUUUUGUGAAAAAUUGGGGCAGUUGAAGAAACCUAGUUAUAAGACUCCAGGUCAAUUCAGUAUAAUGACAAUUCAACACGAAUCACACAAUAAUAUAUUGUACAGGGCAGCUUUUCAGUAAACCUGCUGCAUGUGUGCUCACUGAGGUGAAAUGGCUCUGCACACCAAAGUAGGUGGGUUCCUAGUGCACCAGGAAUGAAAAGCUACUGGCUAGUAAUGCGUUUAUGAGAAAAUGCACACCAAAUAAAAGCCAGAAUAUGUGGACGGGGGAAAGAGAACUCCAGUUUCAGCAGUGCUUUACAUUAAUUGUAUUUUCCACUUACCUAAGUGAGAAGAUAGGCCCAGUUAAGGGCCAGCAGCCAAAUCUAAUUCAGAUUGGUUUAAAGGAAAAAAAAAAAACCCUCAUAACUUCAUGUUAUGCAGAUGGAAGCUAGAAUCUUCACAGGGGCCAAAAACUUUUAAGUUACUAUUUCCCAACCAUUUCCCUACCCUUGUCCCAAGUAACUAGAACCUGGGGUAAUGAGAGUUUGUUUAAUCAAAAUUGCUUAGCCUCCAGGUACAUCUAAGAAGUCACUUCACAUUUUCUUGCUCUAUUUGGAUACUUUUCUGAAUGCUAAUCUCAAAGACAGUGUCCAGAUUGUAGCAGAAGCUACAAAAGAAUUACUUUAGUCAAUAGCUCUAAAAGCUGCCAUUUUAUUAAGAGCUACAACAGAAAGCAUUCGGUACAUUCACUUAUUCUCUACUCAUGAGCUCACGACUAGCUUUCUUAGUCUCUGGGGUGGUAAGAUGUUUUUUUUUUUAAAGAGUUUUGUGAAAUGGAAGAAUCUCUUAACUAUUGCACACAAAUAGGAUUUUCAUCAUCAUUUCUAAAGAUAUAUAGAAACAUGAGCAAAGUCUUGAGGGACUGAGAAACUAACAAAUUUGCCUUAUUAUAUCUGAAGCAUAAUCAAAUGCUGAAUAUUUAGAUGUCUGGUUAGCCCUUUAUUUCACACGUGGACUGAGAUGAACAUCUGCUGAUCCUUAACUUUCAAGAAUAAAUAAAGCUGCAUUUAAAAAGUUAAAGGCUAAGAUCUUUGGGAUUUGUGUUUGGGGGGGUCACACAAAUCGACUCAUGGGCAGAACUUGGAGGCACAAUUGGGCAACCGGAACAAUGACAGACAAGCUACCUUGUCCAUGUAGUCUGUGGCCUGUGAACACUUUCUACUCUGGGAGUGGCAGAUCUUGGCAGUUAAGAGCGUGGGUUCCCAUGAGCUCUGGAUUUGAAUCCUGGCUGACCACUUGUGAGCUCUACAAUCUCAGGCAAAGCCCUUCUGUUCCCAGCCCCAAGUCGGUUUAACCCAUGUUAAAUCUAUAGGUUGAAGACUUGGGUCACUCGAAGCCCAGAGCCUUGCACAGCAGCAAUCUACUCCAACAGAGGUUGAUGUCAUCAUCAGAGGCCACAAAAAUAAUGCAUUUCUCACCAUCAAAAAGCUUCUGAAGUCAUGCUCUCAAAGGCAAUAAAUAAAUAAAUAACCAAUUAACUACA
This is a non-coding RNA of Macaca mulatta (Rhesus monkey), 2075 nucleotides long. The record is from RefSeq and is a predicted model, not a curated record. NCBI's taxonomy places the organism in Eukaryota, Metazoa, Chordata, Mammalia, Primates, Cercopithecidae.